This 848-nucleotide long non-coding RNA is filed under the name Zalophus californianus (California sea lion). RNAcentral's name for it is "lncRNA (ENSZCAG00015012446.1)". The record is from RNAcentral. Lineage: Eukaryota; Metazoa; Chordata; Mammalia; Carnivora; Otariidae.
GGAAAUGUUUCUUCUUCCCGGGGGCGAAGGGCUGGCAAGUGAGCGGUUUGGCAGAGAGGAGCGGGAGGCCGGGCCGGGACGCGGUGUGCGCGGAGCGGCGGGGGAGGGUGGUGGAGUAAGGUGGCGGGGACCGCUAAGGGUGGGGUGACUGGAAGGAGCGGGCGGGAGGGCGGCGCGCCGGCCGGGGCGCGAGUGUGUCCGGCGGGGGCGCGCGCCGCCGCGGAGGGGAAAGGGGUUAGCUGCGAACUGGCCCCCUGGGGGAGUCCCGGGAACUCGCUCCAGGCGCUGGGAGGCAGCGUCCUGCCAGCCGGAGGGGCGCCGAGGCGGGAGCCGAGAGGGUAGUAGAGCCACAUCCUGGACCCUGCACUAUUUUCUACCAGUAACAUAGCAUGCUGGGUGCCAAUGGCUGUGUUUCCCUACACCCCCACUGCCUCUCACCUUCCUGGAGACACUGUGAAAUACAAUGCACAGGAGAUGGUAUCAUUGGGACAGCUGACUUCUUACAGGAUUGAAACAGAAUCAAGGAAUUAAGAAAUGGUAACACUUGAAAACCAUGUUGAAGGUGAGGAAAUCUUGGCAGGCUCAACAACAUCAUUUUCCUUUGAGAAACAACACCAGUGUUUGGAAAUCCCAGAAGAUGUCUCAAGAUUAUAACACCCUUGAGAAAAUGAGCUCAUUUUUCGUCAUAUCAAAAAUAAAUCAGAUACGUGCAUGUACUUUAUUGUUCUAAAUGAAGAAUUUUGUGCACUCAGAAAAUAAAAGUAAGUAUGUGAAAAAUACUCUGUGCAUAGCAUAUACUUGACAAAUGUUAGCUGUGACGAUUAACCCCUAUAUAACAUUAGAGGAAA